Molecule: ribosomal RNA, 430 nt
Filed under: uncultured bacterium
Lineage: Bacteria
Description: bacterial SSU rRNA
Rfam family: Bacterial small subunit ribosomal RNA
Source: RNAcentral
UGGGGAAUUUUGCACAAUGGGGGAAACCCUGAUGCAGCAAUGCCGCGUGAGUGAAGAAGGCCCUUGGGUCGUAAAGCUCUUUCGGCUGGAAAGAAGGGUCAUAUGGCUAAUAUCCAUGUGAUUUGACGGUACCAGAAGAAGAAGCACCUGCUAACUUCGUGCCAGCAGCAGCGGUAAUACGAAGGGUGCAAGCGUUGUUCGGAAUUACUGGGCGUAAAGGGCGCGUAGGCGGGUUUGUAAGUCGAAUGUGAAAUCCCCGAGCUUAACUUGGGACCUGCAUUCGAUACUGCUAAUCUUGAAUGCUUGAGAGGGUGGUGGAAUUCCUAGUGUAGAAGUGAAAUUCGUAGAUAUUAGGAGGAACACCUGAGGCGAAGGCGGCCACCUGGCAAGACAUUGACGCUAAGGCGCGAAAGUGCGGGGAGCAAACAGG